This 253-nucleotide ribosomal RNA is filed under the name uncultured bacterium. RNAcentral describes it as "partial 16S ribosomal RNA". It matches the Rfam family "Bacterial small subunit ribosomal RNA", at positions 524 to 776 of the family's 1533-position model. The record is from RNAcentral.
UACGUAGGGGGCAAGCGUUGUCCGGAAUCAUUGGGCGUAAAGAGCGUGUAGGCGGCUUGUUAAGUCUUGCGUGAAAUCUCGGGGCUCAACCCCGAGCGGUCGUGAGAAACUGGCAGGCUCGAGUGUGGGAGAGGAAAGCGGAAUUCCUGGUGUAGCGGUGAAAUGCGUAGAUAUCAGGAGGAACACCUGCGGUGUAGACGGCUUUCUGGACCAUAACUGACGCUGAGAUACGAAAGCGUGGGUAGCAAACAGG